GGUCUAUAUAAGGAAGCUAAACUCUUCUAUGAUUACCCUAAAAGAAUUCUGACUGAUACAGUGAUGACUGAACUAAAAUCAGUAGAUGUUUUGCAGGCUAACUUUAAAAAGAAGCAAUAAAUUUGUAGGGGAGUUAAUUUGGGACAUGCCAAGUUGGAGGUGUCAAUGAAGCGUCCAAGUGGUGACGCUUGGCAGACAGUAGGAUGCAUAGUCUGAAACUCUGGGAGAAAUGUCCAUUCUUGGAAACCUGUUGAAAAUCAAUUGUCCACAGGUGGAUGGAUUUAUUUCUGAACUUUCGGUUUAAUUCAGUUAGUCUAUAUGUCUAGCCUUAUGCGAGUACCAUACCCUUUAGAAUACUGUAGCUUUGUAGUUAAGUUUUAAAAUCCAGAAUUAACUGAGGGUCCUGGAAAUCUGACGUCAAUGCCAUUUUUUUACAUUAUUAACUGAAGAAAAAUUGGUGCCUUUUACAGAUUUUUUAAAGAUUAAGAUAUAGGAAGAAGUCAGAAGGAGCCAAAUCAGGACUGUAAGAUGGAUGCCUAAUGAUUUCCCUUCAGAACUUUCACAAAAUUGACCUUGUUUGAUGAGAGGAAUAAGCAGGAGCAUUGUCAUGGUGGAGAAAGACUCUCUGGUGAAGCUUUCCUGGUAUUUUUCUGCUAAAGCUUUGUCUAACUCUCUUAAAACACUCUCAUAAUAAGCAGAUGCUAUCAUUCUUUGGCCCUCCAGAAAGUAAACAAGUAAAUGCUUUGACCAUCCCAAAAAACUGUUGCUGUGACCUUUGCUCUUGACCAGUUCACUUUUGCUUUGACUGGACCACUUUUUUUGUUUGUUUGUUUGUUUGUUUGUCUUUUGAGACAGAGCCACACUCUGUUGCCCAGGCUGGUGUGCAGUGGCACAAUCUCGGCUCACUGCAACCUCCACCUCCUGGGUUCAAGAGAUUCUCCUGCCUCAGCCUCCUGAGCAGCUGGAACUACAGGCAUGUGCCACCACACCUGGCUAAUUUUUGUGUUUUCAGUAGAGAUGGGGUUUCCCCAUGUUGCCCAGACUGGUCUCAAACUCCUGGCCUCAAGCGACCCACCCACCUCGGCCUCCCAAAGUGCUGGGAUUACAAGCGUGAGCCACUGCACCUGGCAUGGACCACUUUUUACCUCUUGGUAUCCAUUGCUUUGAUUGUGCCUUGUCUUUAGGAUCAUACUGGUAAAACUAUAUGUCAUCUCCUGUUAUAAUCCUUUAAAGAAAUGCUUCAGGAUCUUGACUCUGCUUGUUUAAAAUUUCCUUUGAAAGCUCUGCUCUUUUGUGCAGCUGAUCUGGGCACAAUGGUUUUGGCACCCAUCAAGUGGAAAGUUUGCACAACUUUAAUUUUUCGGUCAGAACUGGGUAAGCUGAACCAACUGAGAUGUUUAUGGCAUUGACUAUUGUUUCUGCUGUUAAUCGUUGAUCCUCUUCAAUUAGGUCACAAACAAGAUUAAUUUUUUCCUCAUAAAUGGAUGUGGAUGGUCUGCCACCGUAGGCUUCAUAUUCAAUAUCAUCUCAUCCUUUCUUAAAAUGAGUUAUCCAUUGCUGAUUUCUUUGGGGCGUUGUCCCCAUAAACUUUUUGUAAAGCACCAGUGAUUUCACCAUUCUCCAACUCAAGCUUCACUACAAAUGUGAUGUUUGUUCUUGCUUCAAUUUUAACAAAAUUCAUGUCGCUCUGAUAUGGGCUGUUUUCAAACUGAUGCCUUAUCUUUCUUAGUGCCUCAAUCUAGAUCUUGUUCAGACAUGUUAUAAGUUAGUACAAGUUCAUUUUAGUGCAAAAAAUUGAAAUCCAUGCAUUCUCUUCUCAUAUGUGUUUUCCAUGAACUUUUGAAGAUCCCUCAGAUAAUCAUUUUCAUAUGCUACUGAAGUCAAUUUGUUAGUAUUUUGUUGAAGAUUUGUACAUCCAUAUUCACAAUGGAUAUUGGUCUGUUAUUUUCUUUUCCCUGUUGUCUUUGUCUGGUGUUAGUAUUAGGGUAAUAUUGGUCUUAUAGAAGGUGUUAGGAAGUAUCCCCUGCCCUUUAUUUUUUUAAAAAAUCUUUGUGAAAGCUUAAGGAUAAUUAUUUGAAAAUUUGGCAGAAUUUAUCAGUGAAGCCAUCCAGUCAUGGGCUUUUUUUUUUUU
Molecule: long non-coding RNA, 2131 nt
Filed under: Homo sapiens (human)
Lineage: Eukaryota; Metazoa; Chordata; Mammalia; Primates; Hominidae
Description: non-protein coding lnc-RAP1A-1:1
Source: RNAcentral